Molecule: ribosomal RNA, 198 nt
Filed under: uncultured bacterium
Lineage: Bacteria
Description: partial 16S ribosomal RNA
Rfam family: Bacterial small subunit ribosomal RNA
Source: RNAcentral
ACGCUCGACACCUACGGGGGCAGCAGUGGGGAAUAUUGCACAAUGGGGGAAACCCUGAUGCAGCGACGCCGCGUGAAGGAAGAAGUAUUUCGGUAUGUAAACUUCUAUCAGCAGGGAAGAAAAUGACGGUACCUGACUAAGAAGCCCCGGCUAACUACGUGCCAGCAGCCGCGGUAACCUGAGGCGGGCUGGCAAGGC